UAACAUAGUUCUUGGCCACCCAGCUGAA
Molecule: non-coding RNA, 28 nt
Filed under: Mus musculus (house mouse)
Lineage: Eukaryota; Metazoa; Chordata; Mammalia; Rodentia; Muridae
Source: RNAcentral